UGCAUCUGUUUGUUAGACCUGAAGCAGUUAACUGUCUGCUUCUAAGUUUUCCAUUACAGAUGCAAGGAAAAAAGUUUCCUUGCGCUUUCUGUCUUGUCUUAUUGUGGCAACCAAGAUUGAAUAUUGGAAUACAGAG
Arvicanthis niloticus (Nile rat) is the source of this 136-nucleotide small nucleolar RNA. RefSeq annotates it as small nucleolar RNA SNORA31. Lineage: Eukaryota; Metazoa; Chordata; Mammalia; Rodentia; Muridae. The record is from RefSeq and is a predicted model, not a curated record.